GACGAACGCUGGCGGCGCGCUUAACACAUGCAAGUCGAACGGAAAGGCCUGCUUUCCCUUGUGGAUUGCGGGUACUCGAGUGGCGAACGGGUGAGUAACACGUGAGUGAUCUGCCCCCAACUUGGGUAUAAGCCUGGGAAACUGGGUCUAAUUCCCGAUAGGACUCCAGGGUGGUGCCUGUGGUGGAAAACGAUUUUCUAGUGGUUGGGGAUGAGCUCGCGGCCUAUCAGCUUGUUGGUGGGGUAAUGGCCUACCAAGGCGGCGACGGGUAGCCGGCCUGAGAGGGUGGACGGCCACAUUGGGACUGAGAUACGGCCCAGACGCCUACGGGAGGCAGCAGUGGGGAAUAUUGCACAAUGGGCGGAAGCCUGAUGCAGCGACGCCGCGUGGGGGAUGACGGCCUUCGGGUUGUAAACUCCUUUCGACCGCGAGGAAGCCACCUGGUUGGAAGGGUGGUGACGGUAGUGGUAGAAGAAGCACCGGCUAACUACGUG
This 494-nucleotide ribosomal RNA is filed under the name uncultured bacterium. RNAcentral describes it as "partial 16S ribosomal RNA". It matches the Rfam family "Bacterial small subunit ribosomal RNA", at positions 28 to 507 of the family's 1533-position model. The record is from RNAcentral.